Triticum aestivum (bread wheat) is the source of this 1832-nucleotide long non-coding RNA. RefSeq lists it as uncharacterized. NCBI's taxonomy places the organism in Eukaryota, Viridiplantae, Streptophyta, Magnoliopsida, Poales, Poaceae. The transcript is spliced from 3 exons. The record is from RefSeq and is a predicted model, not a curated record.
UCUGCGCGCAAGGAUUUCAUUCCUAACUCAAAUGAAAGCAGCGCCCAGAUUUCUUUAUAUAGCCAUGGACUUACGUAGAUGAACAGCCCAGUCUAGCGCCAAUCUCAUCUCCUCUCCUCCUCGAUUUCAUGGCAUCGGACAGGGGAGAUGAGGGACAUCGUCAUCCGCCGCCUCUUGGCCUCCGGGGCCUGACUCGCACUGCCUUCCUUCCUCAUUCCGGCGAUGGCGGCGGCCUUCCUCCACUUCGUACUUGUCAUGGCGGCGGCCUUCCUCCACUUGGUCUUGCAGGUCGAGGACCACUGUCGUCGUUCUCCAUUGGAACGGCUGCCUCUACACCGGUGUCCAGCCCCAGCGUCGGAGGGAGACACCGCGUCGGUCUGUCGCACCCACCUCGAUCUCCUUCUCCAAACCAGGCAGGCUCGUCGAACUGGGCCACCUCGCCGGGCGGGAGCGGCAGUGCAAGCGCCACCGGAAGGACGUCCUCCUACGUCGGCUUGAACAUCAUGAAUGGCUCCAUCUGCGUCGGACCAAAUUUGUCCGUAUUCUGCACGAGAGGUUCGUAGUCCUUCUUGCCUGAUCAGGAUAUGUUGUCUUGUUCAACGAUUGCAUCAGGAAACUGCCUGCGAGUCACUGCUGCAGGAUGUUUGCCUCCGCUGAUCUCCUUCCUUGUAGCUGUUUACUGUUUUGCUGUUGUCUUAGUUCUUUCUAUGUUGUUUUGUUCUGAACUAUCUUUCAGUUUGGGGAGUCAGGUUCUGUGAGCCGUGUAAUGUACGUACGUAAAUCUUAGCUCUCCAUCGAUUGUGUGACGUGAAUAAAAGGCCUUCGUCAGCCACAGCAUGAGAGACGCUAUGUUUCGUUAGGAAUAAUUUGUUCGGUGACCGUAUUUUUUUCUUGUUUGGCCGUACAUAAGAUCAGCUAUAUGGAUUCUGAAUUGCUUGUUUUUGCUAUGUAGACCGUACCAGUGAGUUUGCUGCAUCUACUAACGGCAGAGAAGGAGGCUGGCGUGGCGCUGGAUAUAAUCCAAAUUUUGAGAACGCUGACGAGUAUCCUCCACGGCUGGAACAUGUAGAGGCACCUUCUGCAAAAGAGAUUGAUUUGAAUGCUUUGGCUAACAAGAAUAACAGAGAACAGUACAUUGUCGUAGACAAGCGUAAUAUUUACGCUAUGUUGCUUGCUCGAAAUGGAGAGUGUGGAAGGUUAAAGGAUGGGGUUUUGGAUUCUGUUGUACGUGAUGGAAAUUGUUCUCGGAGGUGCGUGAGUAGGAUUUGGAAAGAAACGAAGACAGGAGGUGGCGUUAACUCUAUCAAGAACAAUUUGAAGUUAAAAACGGGAAGGAAGAAAAUGAGUUUGGAUAUUGAGGCAUUAGAAGCCAUUCCACCUGGUGAGAGGACCACAAUUCGACAAGUUGCGGCUGGACUUAACAUGUCCAAAAGCACAGUUCACCAUAGGUUGAAGGAGAAGGUAAUGAGACGAGUUUCAAAUGAACUGAAACCUUCAUUAACUGAAGCCAACAAGAAGGCACGUCUGGCGUAUUGCCUUGACAAUUUGGAGCCAAGUUCAUUGGAGGACAAUCCCACUUUUAAAGCUAGUUUUAACAAGGUUCAUUUGGAUGAGAAGAUCUUCUACCGCACAAGGAAGACACAGAAAAUGUACUUGAGUCAUAGAGAGGAAGCACCAAAAAGAGAAUGCAAACAUAAAAACUACAUCCAGCAGAUCAUGUUCUUGUCGGCUAUGGCAAGGCCAAGGUAUGAUUCUCAAGGAAAUUGUGUGUUUGAUGGAAAAAUAGGUGUGUGAGCAUUUGUUGAUUGGGUGCAAGCUCAAAAGAAGAGUGC